Molecule: ribosomal RNA, 500 nt
Filed under: uncultured bacterium
Lineage: Bacteria
Description: partial 16S ribosomal RNA
Rfam family: Bacterial small subunit ribosomal RNA
Source: RNAcentral
AUUGAACGCUGGCGGAAUGCUUUACACAUGCAAGUCGAACGGCAGCACGGACUUCGGUCUGGUGGCGAGUGGCGAACGGGUGAGUAAUAUAUCGGAACGUGCCCAGUCGUGGGGGAUAACGUAGCGAAAGCUACGCUAAUACCGCAUACGAUCUACGGAUGAAAGCGGGGGAUCGCAAGACCUCGCGCGAUUGGAGCGGCCGAUAUCAGAUUAGGUAGUUGGUGAGGUAAAGGCUCACCAAGCCGACGAUCUGUAGCUGGUCUGAGAGGACGACCAGCCUCACUGGGACUGAGACACGGCCCAGACUCCUACGGGAGGCAGCAGUGGGGAAUUUUGGACAAUGGACGCAAGUCUGAUCCAGCCAUUCCGCGUGCAGGACGAAGGCCUUCGGGUUGUAAACUGCUUUUGUACGGAACGAAAAGGUCUCUAUUAAUACUAGGGGCUCAUGACGGUACUGUAAGAAUAAGCACCGGCUAACUACGUGCCAGCCGCCGCCGUAA